Molecule: ribosomal RNA, 468 nt
Filed under: uncultured bacterium
Lineage: Bacteria
Description: partial 16S ribosomal RNA
Rfam family: Bacterial small subunit ribosomal RNA
Source: RNAcentral
GACGAACGCUGGCGGCGUGCUUAACACAUGCAAGUCGAACGGAAAGGCCCUGCUUUUGCGGGGUGCUCGAGUGGCGCACGGGUGAGUAACACGUGAGUAUCCUGCCCUUUACUUUGGGAUAACUUCAGGAAACUGCGGCUACUACCUGAUACGAGCUCCUGCUGCAUGGUGGUGGUUGGAAAGCUUCGGCGGUUGGGGAUGGACUCGCGGGUUAUCAGCUUGUUGGUUGGGUAGUGGCUUACCAAGGCUUCGGCGGGUAGCCGGCAUGGGAGGGUGGACGGCGACAUUGGGACUAAGGUAGGGAGCAGUGGGGAACAGGAGGCAGCGGUGGGGAGUAUUGCACAAUGGGCGGGAGCGUGAUGCAGAGACGCCGCGUGCGGGAUGACGGCCUACGGGGUGUAAACCGCUUUCGCCUGUGACGUAGCGGUAGUGACGGUAAUGGGUAAAGAAGCACCGGCUAACUACGUG